AUCGUACGGGAGGCAGCAGUGAGGAAUAUUGGUCAAUGGGCGAGAGCCUGAACCAGCCAAGUAGCGUGCAGGAUGACGGCCCUAUGGGUUGUAAACUGCUUUUAUGCGGGGAUAAAGUGAGGGACGUGUCCUUCAUUGCAGGUACCGCAUGAAUAAGGACCGGCUAAUUCCGUGCCAGCAGCCGCGGUAAUCGAU
Molecule: ribosomal RNA, 195 nt
Filed under: uncultured bacterium
Lineage: Bacteria
Description: partial 16S ribosomal RNA
Rfam family: Bacterial small subunit ribosomal RNA
Source: RNAcentral